UAGGGAAUCUUCGGCAAUGGACGAAAGUCUGACCGAGCAACGCCGCGUGAGUGAAGAAGGUUUUCGGAUCGUAAAACUCUGUUGGUAGAGAAGAACGUUGGUGAGAGUGGAAAGCUCAUCAAGUGACGGUAACUACCCAGAAAGGGACGGCUAACUACGUCCACGA
RNAcentral lists this ribosomal RNA (166 nucleotides) under uncultured bacterium. RNAcentral's name for it is "partial 16S rRNA". It matches the Rfam family "Bacterial small subunit ribosomal RNA", at positions 355 to 512 of the family's 1533-position model. The record is from RNAcentral.